This 695-nucleotide long non-coding RNA is filed under the name Dermacentor andersoni. RNAcentral describes it as "uncharacterized LOC126526385". Lineage: Eukaryota; Metazoa; Arthropoda; Arachnida; Ixodida; Ixodidae. The record is from RNAcentral.
UUAGCAAAACAUUUUUUUGGGCGAGUUCAUUUAUACCUGAGCGCUAGACCUGUGUACUCAUCUCAUGCUUGCUUUUUUCUUUUUUUCACAUUAUUGUUUUUCCUUCUUUGUUGUUUCGUUCGCCUGCACACACUGGCCAAGGCCGAUGUUCUUUCCCGUGAUAACUGUAAAAUGCUGCAUGCAAAUGUCUACAAGCAGCUGCCUUUUAUAUUGACUGGUAAUUGCAUUACAGCAUAAUCUCGCGAUUGCAAUGACAUACAAACCAUUAAUUAAAGAUAGUUUGCAUUGCUUCAUUUUCUAUUGCAGUAGUAAAAGUCCGUAUGUGACAGUAUUGCUGUGGUUGUUUUAUCGUUUCAGGUGUUCCUGGGUAGUGGCGUGUGGCUGCAAAAAUCCGUCUAUGAACAUUUGAUGCAGCACCCAAAAGAUGGUAUUUUUGUUCGCGAGCCCAGUGUGCAAAUAUUUUCGACUGCAGGCCUCAUUAACAGAAGUGUCACUGGCGCUGCAUCAAACAGGACAAAAAUGGAGGCCAAGCCACCUUUGGAUACAACAAAAUAUGACAUUCUGAAAGCAUUUUUCAGGCACUACCUCAAGCGCCGAUGCAGCAACCGAGAAGAAAUUGCAACAAGACACAGUUGCCUUGGCAAAAUAGUCGCCUGUAAGAUAGCAGACAUCAUGAAGGGGCAGAAGAAGCAUAU